RNAcentral lists this ribosomal RNA (403 nucleotides) under uncultured bacterium. Its description in RNAcentral is "partial 16S ribosomal RNA". It matches the Rfam family "Bacterial small subunit ribosomal RNA", at positions 30 to 526 of the family's 1533-position model. The record is from RNAcentral.
AUUGAACGCUGGCGGCAGGCCUAACACAUGCAAGUCGAGCGAGCGGCGGACGGGUGGGUAAUGUAUGGGGGCUGCCCGUUAGGGGGGGAUAACUACUGGGAACGGUAGCUAAUACCGCAUACUAUCGGCUAACCCCUAUUGGAUUAGCUAGUAGGUGAGGUAAUGGCUCACCGAGGCGACGAUCCCUAGCUGGUCUGAGAGGAUGAUCAGCCACACUGGGACGUAGACACGGCCCAGACUCCUACGGAGGCAGCAGUGGGGAAUAGUGCACAAUGGGAGCAAGCCUUAUGCAGCCAUGCCGCGUGUAUGAAGAAGGCCCUAGGGUUGUAAAGUACUUUCAGUCGGGAGGCGUUACCGACAGAAGAAGCACCGGCUAACUCCGUGCCAGCAGCCGCGGUAAUAC